AUUACAUUUGCUUUGCUUUAAAGAAAACUAUGCUAACAGGAAAAAGUGUCCGUGAUAUUGCUAUUUCUCCCUGGAACUGGAGUGCUCAGAGAGAUCCACUGGCUGGACACUGAUGGCUGCAGCUCAGACCCACCUUACUCCACCUGCCAAGAGCUGACUUCAGGCUUCUCUGCUUCCCUCGCCGUAGCCGCUGAUGACCUCGCUGAUACCUACAGACUUUGACAUCAGUAAGCCUGGAAACCAAAGCAUGGAGAUUCAUCUUUCAGUGACUGAAGCUUAGACUCCAGUUUUGCCAACUUCCUCACCAAAACAAGCUUCUUAGUUGCUGAUGGAUCUUCUGUCUUGUUUCAAACAGAUCCAUAGAAGAGACGAUGCUCAAGGAGAUAUGUCUAAGGUCCUCAGACAAUGUGCUAUAACUCUUUGUAGUUGCCUUCCUUCAUAAACCCACUUAGAGUUUUAUUUCCACCUUUUGUGUUUAUUUUAAAACCACAUCAUCUAGUACUCCUAAGUCCAUGGAGUGGGAAUUUCCUUUCUUACCUCCUUUGAGUGUAAGGACCUUGACUUUAUUUAGAACAGGUGUAUCUGCAUGACCAAAACCUGAAGUGGUUCCUUGUUUGGCUCCAGAACUACCCUAUAGUUAAUGGCACAGAUUUGUUCUUAUGCUGAGUCCAGAGGAGCCCAAGUGCUGGAGUGCAGAGAUGAACAAAGGCAUGGACAAAGUGGACAUCAGUUUGGCAUGGGUUUUCAUUUCAGGCUUCUCAGUAACACCCUGUGUAAAGUUUUCCAAGGAGUCCAUUUGUAAAUCUGUAAGUUGUACUCAACAGCUGCCUCGUUUGUGUUCCCCAGGAAGUUUUUACACAGCUUGUACUAUCCAGGCCAUGUAAAACAUAGUCAUUCCUAAAAAUAGUUGACCCCUUUUUGCAAAAUCAUGAUUAGGUCAGUCACAUUUUCUUUUCAGCUAAGUACUGUGAAACCACUGUUCCCUUCCAAAACUUCUGCCCUAGACCUUCUAGUGCUUUUAUUUUGAGGGAUCUGAGGCAACUCUAAUUAAAC
Long non-coding RNA from Grus americana (Whooping crane), 1053 nucleotides. RefSeq lists it as uncharacterized. The record is from RefSeq and is a predicted model, not a curated record. The transcript has 2 exons. Lineage: Eukaryota; Metazoa; Chordata; Aves; Gruiformes; Gruidae.